UGUCGCACGAUGACGAUGUUUGCUCGUAAAAUAUUAACCGUUAUUUAAUAAACAUUUUAUUUAACUUCGAGGCUACAAAAUGAUAGUGCUGAUAGGUUAUACGAAGAGUUUUAUUCGAGGAUAACAUUGAUUUUAUUUUAAAACGCAUAAAAAUUAGGGCGCGUUUUAAACAAGUUCUAGAGAAACAUUUACUUGGAAGAAGCUUUAAAAUGUAAGUGCGGUCCCAGGAGUGCAGCACGAGCGUCGCCAGCGCCACUCCCGGCUGCGAUGCAACACAACACAAACACGCUGCUACUUUACAUUCCUCCGCCGAUGCUUAUGGAAAUAUCGUUCAGAUGCCGGCUGGCAUUGUGUUACUCUGUACAUUGUAAGUGAGCCGCGCUUUAAGUAACCAUUCUCCUCACAACCGAGCCAUUUGAGCGAAAACGUUCAUGUAGAAUCAGAAAAAGAGUGAUCGAUGUAGUAUUUGCAAAUUUAUAUAUAUUGAAGCUGAACACUCGGUCCAUUGAUACUUUAAUGUAUGCUAAAAGGUGAUCGUGAUAGGAUUCCAUUUGUGAUAUUAUAAACAACAACAAAUAACAUAGUGAUAAAGAAAAAGGCAACAGCGGAGGCCGAAUAAGCAACAAAAGCAAAUCGGCCAGGCACGAAUACAAUGCGCACGCUACAAACGUAUCUGAGCGGUCACAGAUAACACGGGCGCGCUGCCAAACCGCGGACAAACGAUCACAGCGCUGAUAAUCACCAACUAUGUCAUUAUCAUCUUUGUUUUUAUUAUUUAACAUCUACGCACAUGAUAGAAAACGUAUUCGUAUGGGCUCGGGAUGAUGUUGCAUCACUUAUUUGAAACGUGUAUUAUAUUUAAAGACUCCUUUGAUAACUACUUUAGUUAGACUAAAAUAAAUAAGGUUAAGUUAUAAAUGUGAAGUGUACCUAAAGUAAAUAGCUAAAUUUGUGAACCGACUCCGUGUUCAAAGCGGUUCGCAUUCAAACGAUUUAUGUGGGCGCCACAAUAACAAACAUUACAUUUAAGUUGCGGCCGUAAAAGCUGAAAGUUGGAGCCAUUUCCAGUGCUCGUCGUAGUCGCGCACAAUUGUUGUGUGACAAUGUUCACGCUGUGCACCACGCCACUAAUUAAACCGAAUUGCAUAACAAUGAGAGCGAUCUGAAUUAUGUGUUAUUAAUAUAGAGUCCGGAAGCACUGCACUAGCGAGCCUUAACACCGCUACAAUGUUCAUAUGUGCAGUUAUUUCACUAGCGUUUACUUUUAACAUAGACGCAGCAACACUCAAUAACCCAGCUAAUAACUUAGAAAGCAAAUCAAUAGGGGGGAAGGAAACAGGGACAACAAAUAUUAUACAUUUCACUGUUUGUUGAAAUUCUGUAUCUAGAAUGCGGCUGCAGGAGAGUAAGAGAGCACAAGGAAGCAUAAUUAGCAAAGUAUGGCGACCGCAAUCGUAAAUUCCUGGCGCAACAUGCCAGCGCGCGCGGUGCUGCGUCCUGGCAUUGUCACAUUAGUCGCUGGAAUGAUUAGAUCUCGAAUUCGUCUCAAUAUUGCUUAGUUAUACAAUUUUUAUUUUUAAAUAAAGCAACAGUUUAAAUGA
Molecule: long non-coding RNA, 1601 nt
Organism: Papilio xuthus (Asian swallowtail)
Lineage: Eukaryota; Metazoa; Arthropoda; Insecta; Lepidoptera; Papilionidae
Exons: 2
Source: RefSeq, a predicted model, not a curated record